Molecule: non-coding RNA, 215 nt
Filed under: Bacteroides sp.
Lineage: Bacteria; Pseudomonadati; Bacteroidota; Bacteroidia; Bacteroidales; Bacteroidaceae
Source: RNAcentral
UAUAUUUGCGCCCGAAUUGGUUUGAAAUCCGUGGUCAACGGAGGAAGAUUAAAAGGGAAUCGGGUGUAACUCCCGGACAGUCCCGCUGCUGUGAAGCUCUGUGAAACAUCUUACAAAUUAACCGGAUUCGUGCCACUGAUGGAGGUGAAAAAUCCAUCGGGAAGGCUUGUAAGAUGAGAGUCAGUCAGAAGACCUGCCAUUCGGAUAUAUAUUUU